This 497-nucleotide ribosomal RNA is filed under the name uncultured bacterium. Its description in RNAcentral is "partial 16S ribosomal RNA". It matches the Rfam family "Bacterial small subunit ribosomal RNA", at positions 28 to 507 of the family's 1533-position model. The record is from RNAcentral.
GAUGAACGCUGGCGGCGUGCCUAAUACAUGCAAGUCGAGCGAACAGACGAGGAGCUUGCUCCUCUGACGUUAGCGGCGGACGGGUGAGUAACACGUGGAUAACCUACCUAUAAGACUGGGAUAACUUCGGGAAACCGGAGCUAAUACCGGAUAAUAUAUUGAACCGCAUGGUUCAAUAGUGAAAGACGGUUUUGCUGUCACUUAUAGAUGGAUCCGCGCCGCAUUAGCUAGUUGGUAAGGUAACGGCUUACCAAGGCAACGAUGCGUAGCCGACCUGAGAGGGUGAUCGGCCACACUGGAACUGAGACACGGUCCAGACUCCUACGGGAGGCAGCAGUGGGGAAUCUUACGCAAUGGGCGAAAGCCUGACGGAGCAACGCCGCGUGAGUGAUGAAGGUCUUCGGAUCGUAAAACUCUGUUAUUAGGGAAGAACAAAUGUGUAAGUAACUAUGCACGUCUUGACGGUACCUAAUCAGAAAGCCACGGCUAACUACGUG